UUGAAAUGGAAUCAUUAAUUAUGGACCUCUCAGGGAAUUUAUUUUUCCCCUUAGGAAUGUAUUAGUUUAUAUCUCUGGGUCCAUAAAAAGAAGAGACUGUCUUUUGUGGUCCUUUAAAAAAAUCAGUCUCAUUACUAAACCAGUAAGCCAUAAUAUCAUCGAGGGCAAGGUUACACUCUGUAAGAUGAGAACAACAUCACAUAUAUAUAGAAUCAGAUCAAGCUGGAAUAAUUUCUCAGCUUUGUUGCUUAUUAGCUGUUCAACCUUGGGCAAGUAACCACCUCUCUGAGGGUCAGUAGGUUACAUGUUUCACAACAGUUCCUAGUGUCAUGAACCAUAUGCCUCAGUUAUAGGUAGUGCUCAGGGCAGUUAUCUCUUGAGUUAUAAACUGAGCGUUUUCUUUGACUUCUACUUGAAUUCGUCUUAUUUGGCGAAGUUCACGCCUACCACUAUAGACUAUGGGACUGUUUAACACACACUUAAGGAUUGUUAACUGCUCAAAUCCAUAGCGCGGCAUGCAUCUCUAAUUUUCCGGCACUGGGGUGAAAAUGCAGAUUCUGAUGGGGCAGCUUUGGAGUUGGGACCAGGCUCUGCACUGCAAAGCAUUUCCCAGGUGAUGUCCGAGACAGAUUGCUAGUACUCCACCACCACCUCCGCUGGUACUACAGAUACUUGGGUCUGGCGCAUUUGCAGUGACAUGGGGCAGUCCUGUGCAUUGUAGGAGAUCCAGCAGCAUCCCUGGUAGUUUCCUCUGGAUGCCACUGACUCCCAGCCUGCAGCUAGGUCACCUGAAACGCCUCCAGACAUUGGCAGACAGCCUAAAUCGGUGGGUGGAGAACCACGCCCUUUAGGAUGCCAUGCCAGUGGUGCACCUCGGGGCAAGCCGGUAGGGAUCCUGGAGGUUGGUGCAGAUUGGGAAACAAAGGCUGGACUGCGCGCGCAGAGCCCGCAGUCGCAGAGGCUGGACGGAAACUUUCGGCUCCUCUAGCAGCAUCUCCCCUCACGCACCUCCCCUCCACGCGCACUGCGUCCCCACGCACACUGCGUCCCCACACGCGGCGCAGCCGCCGGAAGUGAGUUCUUGUAAGCCAGUCGAUGCUGCAGCUCCCAGCUCCUUCUAGUCAGCCUGAUGUGGCUCCAGUUUCCCAGUCGUCCCUCGCCGGGAGGUCCCGCACACCUCCCGGCCUUAACUGUGCCUCAUACUCCUCAACAGCCUUUGACGGGGGAGGCCGCAAGCUACCCACCCAGGAGGAUGCCGUCCGUGUCAAAGAGCAGAAUGCUUCCCAAAGGGACCAGGAGAAAGUGGACAUUCAUCUUUCUGUCUCAAACAGGUAUCCCUGUGCAAGUUUUCAAGAAGAACCAGUUUCCUGGUAUUGCAACUAGGGAAGAAUUGGCUUGUCAAACAGGAAUUUCAGAUUCUCAAGUCUAGAUGUGGUUUUGGAACCGAAGAGCUUGGCACCUGGAGCAGAGCAGAGGUGGGCCUGUGAAGGUCCUGGCACGUGCAUAUGUGCUCAGCUGUGUCCAGCUCUUUGUGACCCCAUUGACUACAGCCCGCCAGGCUCCUCAGUCUAUGGAAUUUUUCAGGCAGGAAUACUGGAGUGGGUUGCCAUUUCCUGCUCCAGGGGAUCUCUUCAUUCCUGUGAUCAAACUCAAGUCUCCUGUGUCUCCUGCAUGGGCAGGUGGAUUCUUUACCACUGAGCCACUUGAGAAGCCCAAAGUUCUUGGCAGAAGGCCCCAAUGCCAGGCUAGAUCUGACUGUUCUUGGAAACAAAAGCCCACAGUAGCUCUCAUCAAUUACCUCCUGCCAAUUUGCUUUAGAGCAUCCAAUCUUUUGCCACAGCAGCUCCUUUUUUCUUCCCCAUGUUGUUCCUUGUGUGCCCUCUGCGGGCUGGUCAUUGAAGUCCAUGGUGGUGCAGCCUACCCAAGCUGUGCAGGGAAGAGAAAACUCUAAACCUCUGGGAACAGUUCCAAGUCACUCCUCAGUAGGACCAAAUCUGGGAGUGGGUCUCCACCUACUCACACAGCUCUCUGGCCUCCAUCCCAAGGAACAUACCAGGAGAGCAACUUGCAGACUGGCUUGAAAGCACUCCCUCUCCAAGACUCUCCUCAGCCUGACCUUGAUAGUCCUCAGCCACACUUGCAGGAUUUGGCUUGGCCACGCUUAUCCCAAGCCACAGAACAGGGGACCCAAGUUGUAAUCUCUAGAUGGGAGUCUUGGGAAAGAAAGAUUCUGCAGCCUGCACAUGCUGAGCCUCAUGUCCGGCAGUGGCAGGCACUCUCAAGUGAAAAAGUCGUCCCCUUUGCUGGACCAACACCAGCACUCAGCACUUGGAAGCUUAUCAAGCCUUUUAGAUGAACUCUUGUCAGCCAAAGACAUUUAAGAAAAGGUACAACCCUUCCUGAAUGUGGAUCCAUGGGAACAGAAGCCACCAGAAACUCCAGAAGCAGCCCUCAGCAAAGAACAAUUUCAGGCUCUUAUUGACAUGCUGCGAAGCUGACUAAGGUCUCAGACUUAGGAGGAAGAAAGAAACUUUCUCCUGACCCUCUUUCAGACCUUCUUUCUUGGGAUACAGGACCAUCUUGAUAGAAAAAAAGGAAUAAGCAACACUUAGUGUUUGGGAAACACACGUAGGCAAGAAGACCCAUCCUUGACUUGAAAGCCUGAAAGGCUUGUUUCCCCUUUGUCCUGUUGCCUCCUUGAGUGUUUCCCAGCUCCACCUGGAUUCUGAGGAAGCUUGGACACCAGGAGAGGCAGCCUUCCUGAAGUUUUAGUGAAAUCUCACGUUGUAAUGACAAAUGUGGCCCAACUCUUCUGUCUGCACCAUCCCUGAACCGGAACCACAACAAGAAGGUGAGAUAUAAGGAGGAGUUGUUCACAUGUGUUACUUUUCUGGCAAGAUUGGAAGGCACAUCUGAAGUGUGCUUGGUGUAUAGAAGAGGAGGGAAUGUGCUGUGACUUGAACAUUCAGGUCUAGGAAUGUGAGCUCUUUUCAUGGUGGUGAAUGUCAGAUCUGGCAACUGGAAGCAACUUAAGCCUCUAACUAGUAAUGAGUGUUUCAGAGCUUCAGUCCUUAAUACACUGGAGACUUCGCAUAUUAUUUUCCCCUGGAGCAUCUUCAAUAUAAAAAAAAAAUGGCAGGAGAAGGUACAAUAACAUCUCCAACCCAUUACUCUGGAAAGGCUGGGAACCUCACUUUCCUUCGCUUUAGCAUUUUUGAAUGUAUGGGCCUGCAUACGUACCUGGAAUUUUUCAUUAUGGAUUUAAAAAAAAAGUCUGUAUUCUGACUCUUUGUGGUCUUCCUUCAACAGCCCCUGCUCCCUUCCUUUGAAAAGGAUACAUAGGAUUUUCAAGUUGUAUAUGACAUUCCAUUGAUUCCACAAGUGUAUCUUUGAAUUCACUGUGACGUCUUUGUUGUGCUUUGGUUCAUUCAUACUACUCUGUCCCAUCUUUCCAGUUCUCCUUAUUGGUAAUUACAUAUACAUCUACCUCUAUUUUCAUUUGACAGGAAGACUGUUACGGUGGCUACACAUGGUGGGAUAGUGCCUCUGGAAAAGAGUCUGAGUGUGGUAGCCUCAUGACAAAUGGGGCUUGAGAUUUGGAAUGGGACUCCUUGUGGAAAGGAUUGUGUAUUUCAAUAUAGUGGGAGGAAGACUACAUCAAGUGUGGCUAGAAACACUCAGAUCCUUUGUUGGCAGGACUUCUCUAGGCUGUAGAUAGAGCAAAGGGCUAUUGUUUAACCCCUUUUGGGUCCAGUGAUGACCACAUAGUCAUAUGAUGGCCUGUGCAGAAGUAUAUCUGCAUGUUCUUGGGAUACCCUGGGUGCUGUGCAUAUCAAAGCCUCUGCUCUGGGACUUCGCUGGUGGUCCAGUGGUUGGGAUUGCAUGCUUCCACUGCAGGGAGCCUGGAUUUGAUCCCUGGUUGGGGAACUAAGAUCCCAUGAGCUGCAUGGUGAAGCCAAAAUAUAAAAGCCUCUGCUCUGACAAGCAACCUACCACUUGAGUUGUCCAGUUGGGAGGUGGUGGAGGUCUGGCAGCCAGUGCUUUAGCAAGAGAAGCAAUCUAAUCAGAAGUUUCAGGAAAGUUUAUCAACAAAAACGUCCACCUUCUUGAGGCAAGACUGUCCUGAUCCACAAGAUGGUCUCAUCACUUCCCAAUCUCUGGCACCUGAGGACGAAGGACUAGAAUCUGGAUGUCUUCAAGACAUUCCCCUGAGACUUGAAGACAGCUUCUGGUCCCAUUGGCAGCCAUCCACAGUUGUUGAGUCACACCCUUCUUUUCUGCACUUGUGGUUUUCUGAUACUCCCAGACCAGAGAAGGAAUAACCAGCUACAGAUGGUGAGUUUCUCUUUGCUUCAAGUAUUAAAGUUAUAUCUUGUUUCCCUUUAGGGGGAUAUUGUCAGAGAACAUUGUUUUAUAGAUUAUGUUGUAUUUGUAUGGGAUGGGCUAUUCUUAGCCACACAUUCAGUGCUGUGUUGGGCAUGUGUUGUUGGAAUUCAUGGAGAGAAUAUGACCCAGGUCGACCUGGGAGAUGAACCUAGGUAACUGAAUCACCUCACCCAUCCCCCCAGCCUUGUGCUUGAAAUGUGCAUUCUGCUUGAUUUCCCCAAGAGGUAAGCUUAACAAGGACACACUUUUGAGACAGCAAGGUGUUGUUGGCACCUGUGGACAGUAUAGCUGACUGAACUGUUAAGGCUUCUAUUUAAUGUUUUUAAAGAUUCUGGCAUACAGGUGGGAAAUCAUCUUGUGGCUGCCCAAGAUGAGCCCCAGAAGUAAAUUCCUUUGCUUGUUAAACAUCUACCUACCUAUCUAGUGUGGUUUUCCAAUUUCUUCAAUCUCUGUGGCAUGUGAGUAACGGGGUGGGUUUCACUUUACACACAGGAAGCUCCUGAGUAGUUGAGAUCCAAGAGCAUGAUUGGGUAGACCCUGGCCUUACUCAUUCACCCAUAGUAUUCCAAGUAUCAUGAUCACACCCUCAAAUGAAAUGAUUUAGAAAUAGAAUGCAGUGGGUUUCUGAAGAUGCCAAGGGAAAUGUGUAGUGUACACAGGGAAGUUAGGCUGUUCAUUUUGGAAAGAGCAUACCUGAACCUAAUCCCGAGGAACCCAGAGUCACAGAUUGCAACUGGAAGCAAACUGUUUGAGUAUGUGAAAAUUAGAGAGUCCUGAAACAAAAUUUAGGUGAAAGGAUGAUAGCAGCUUCAGAAAUAUCUGAUACUUCUGGUACUUAAGGCCUCUGAACUUGUUUUUCAUUUAAUUAACACUUGCCUCACGGGAUUCCUUCAAGGUCAUACAUUUUGGAUGAGAGUUUAUGGUAGGAAGCGGUUGAAAUAGAUAGGAGUGGGGCAUCUUGUGCUUCCAGAAACUGAACAAUUGGCCAGCAGUUUCUGUGUGAUCCAGGUAGUUCCCCCAACAUGGAUUCAUCAGCUCAUCAAGCGAUAAGUUUGCAUCAGCAUCUGGGCUUUGUUGUUGGAUCAUUUAAAUGACUUGAUACAAAGUAUAAGUGACCACUAAGAUUGCAGUGACAGGCUUUAUUGGGCUGUGUUUCUGGAAUAAAUUGGGUGAAAAGAUUGAGAGUGGCUUGGGCAUUUUCUUGAGACAGAAAAUGAAGUUGGUAGCCCUGUUGCCCAUCAAAUGCUUCUCUAUCAAAAGUCUUAAUUAAAGUUGGCACUGUAAAUGUACAGAAUGGCACAUAAAUUUUCAAAUAUCUUUACUUUAGUUGAUAAAAAUAUAUGUUUUCCAGGAGACCACGUUUGGAAUUUUGAAUUGGUUUGGUUCUUUUUUGUUUUUAUUGUUUCGUUUUCAGUUUUAAGUGGUUAAUUUCUGUUGAGUUGAUGGAAAUAAUUAAGAAACAAUUCUCAGUAAGAAUAGAAGAGAGUUUAUUUUUGCCAAACUGAAAACUAGACCCCAGAAGACACAAGUUCCAGAUUCACUUGAAUUGUCCUCCCCUGGAUUACAAAAUGGAGGAGGCUUAUCAAGGCAAAAUCUGCAGCGUUGUACUUAGUUCCAUGAGUUAUUUCUAAAGAGUUACCAUUGGAGCUGGCAAGAAAUAAGGGUGGUAUAAGUAUUGUAUUGUAAGUAAGUAUUGGUUGAGGUCUGAAACCCUUCCUACUCACAGAGGGAGACCUUGAGACUGUAAGUUUGCAGCUGGCAGCUGCUAGCAGUCCUCUUCUUCUUCUUUUU
Bubalus bubalis (water buffalo) is the source of this 6177-nucleotide long non-coding RNA. RefSeq lists it as uncharacterized. NCBI's taxonomy places the organism in Eukaryota, Metazoa, Chordata, Mammalia, Artiodactyla, Bovidae. The transcript has 4 exons. The record is from RefSeq and is a predicted model, not a curated record.